This 253-nucleotide ribosomal RNA is filed under the name uncultured bacterium. RNAcentral describes it as "partial 16S ribosomal RNA". It matches the Rfam family "Bacterial small subunit ribosomal RNA", at positions 524 to 776 of the family's 1533-position model. The record is from RNAcentral.
UACGAAGGGGGCUAGCGUUGCUCGGAAUCACUGGGCGUAAAGCGCACGUAGGCGGCUUCUUAAGUCAGGGGUGAAAUCCUGGAGCUCAACUCCAGAACUGCCUUUGAUACUGAGGAGCUUGAGUCCGGGAGAGGUGAGUGGAACUGCGAGUGUAGAGGUGAAAUUCGUAGAUAUUCGCAAGAACACCAGUGGCGAAGGCGGCUCACUGGCUCGAUACUGACGCUGAGGUGCGAAAGCGUGGGGAGCAAACAGG